UACGUAGGUGGCAAGCGUUGUCCGGAUUUACUGGGCGUAAAGAGCGCGCAGGCGGCCAAGUCAGUCGAAUGUGAAAGCCCCCGGCUCAACUGGGGAGGGUCAUUCGAUACUGCUCGGCUCGAAGACAGGAGAGGGAAGUGGAAUUCCCGGUGUAGUGGUGAAAUGCGUAGAUAUCGGGAGGAACACCAGUGGCGAAGGCGACUUUCUGGCCUGUUCUUGACGCUGAGGCGCGAAAGCUAGGGGAGCGAACAGG
This 253-nucleotide ribosomal RNA is filed under the name uncultured bacterium. RNAcentral's name for it is "partial 16S ribosomal RNA". It matches the Rfam family "Bacterial small subunit ribosomal RNA", at positions 524 to 776 of the family's 1533-position model. The record is from RNAcentral.